Long non-coding RNA from Enhydra lutris kenyoni (northern sea otter), 517 nucleotides. RefSeq lists it as uncharacterized. Lineage: Eukaryota; Metazoa; Chordata; Mammalia; Carnivora; Mustelidae. The transcript is spliced from 3 exons. The record is from RefSeq and is a predicted model, not a curated record.
UGGGCACUGGACCAUCACCUGGGCACCGGACCAUCACCUGGGCACCGGACCAUCACCUGGGAGGGGAGAGCCAAGGCCUGAGCAAGGGGCGGCGCGCAUGGAGAUGAACACUCGCCCGCAGCAGAGCGUCCCUGCGCGCGUGCACUGGCGCGUACAAGUUCAGUCUCUGGGGACACCUAAGCAUACAGCCGAGUGCUCUACACCCCUGAACAGGAGAUGACUUGGAGCGGUCUUCAUCGCAGCCUUGCUAUCCAGAGACGAUGGACUCUGGAGGGACUGUGCACGUUCCAGGGCUGGCCAGUUCGUAGAGCUAAUAAACAACUCCCGGAAAGGUGUCUUUCAGAUGCAAACCAACCAAUCCAGAGCCUGAGCCCCCAGCCACCUCCUCUGGGCUUCUCAGAUUUCCCAUCAAUAACCCCUACCCUAAUCACACCACGGCCAGAUACCAGAUAAGGAAGGAGAGCCCCUGCCCCAGAGCCUACCGAGAAUAUUUGAAUUAGCCUCUCCAGAACCUACU